AGACAGCUGCACUCACCUUUCUACCUGCCAGCUAGAAGGCAGCCAGUCGUCGCCGCUCGGACGUGAACGCAGCAGCAGCAGCAGCAGCAGAGGCUCCUUCAUCACCGCCGGGGUCAGGUGAAGGGACCGGGUGACCCCUCGGCCGGGACAGGGAGAACACCUGCUGCUGCUGAUUAACAAGUCGCUCAGCUGACACGACAACGAGUCGACGCCUGAAUGAACUUUAUUUGUUUUAGUGACAACAAGACACCGGCUCUUGUUUCUCUUCACAAGACCGUCCUGCAGCAGUUCUGUUGCCCGCACAGCUGGAAACUUUGCCUGGGAAUUUCUGUGCUCAAAAAUUUCAGUCAUUGUUUCUGGUCGUGUGUGUAAUGUGCAUCCGAGGCCGAGCGGGCCCACCUAUCCCACGCCUGCCUGCCCAUCUGUCCUCCACAGGGCAGCUUUGGAUGGAUUUUUAACUUGCAAAACUGGACUGCAUUUGUGAGAAAAUGUCUCAAGUUAGUAGUAAUUAACAUAUGAGUGAGCACAGAGAAAACGUGCCCCAUCAUAGCAGGAUUUACUGUUAAAGGCCUCGUGUCUGAUUGACAGGCUCACCUGAACAGCACCUGAGCUACAGUGUGAUUUUGAAACUUGUUCUUUUUUUAAAAUCUCCCAACAGCAGCAGCAGCAGCCAUUUUUCUAGUUGUAGAGGCGCAGCUCGCUCUGGUUCAGUUGUGACAUAUCCCACAGAGGGCAUGGCAGCGGUGUUACCACAUGCAGACUAACCUGCAGUAUGUCAGGUAUGUUGGUGAACCAGCUCCACUCAGCCGUUCUCAGAUGAUGGGUGUGACUCUGUACUUUCCUUCAGAGUGGCACGAUUUAAUUAAAAUGCAGACAAUAAACUGCUGACAGUAAACACACCAGGAACUCGUUGCACAAUGAACCCGCUCGGCACAUGAUUUACUUUUAAAUGACGAAGAGAGGAACUGAAUUACUGCUGAAUGAAAGUGUUUGUAAUUUUCUUUUUUACAAUAAAAACGCAUCUGAGGACAAAUGUUCCAAAUUAGCUGUUUGGGGUUUUUUUCUAUGUGUGUUUGUUCCUGCACAGAAAUAAACAUGACAAACUAAUGCUGGUACAGAACCUGCUGCUGUGUGUGUUUACACCUGGAGGUCUGCACAUAAAGAAGUAGGUUCCUUCAAACUGGUUCCAUUUCAGUGUGUGAAUACUGAUCAGAAGGACUUGUGUCAACACUCGGAGCAGGUGAGUGACACGUUAUCCAGAACAAACAUGACGUGAAGCUGGAUGUCAGCCAGUCUGUCACUUCUCAGGUUUGUUAUAUUUAGUUUGAGAUAAAAAGUUUCAGGUGGAAUCUGGAGUUUCAAACGUCCUGAAGGCGGCUUAAAACCUGCACGACGGGUCAGUUUGGUGAAGCCAGGUGGUGGGAAUACGGGUUAAAGAGGAGCUCAGAACGUCUGGGAUAGGAACACAGUGAGCGGCGUCGCGUUUCAGUGGAAAUGCUGAUACAGUUUAUUACAUUUUUAAGAUGCUAUAAGUAAAAGCAACUUCAUUUCACUUAAAAAAAGUUCUGUUACAGCAAGUGCCAACACGUCGGUGUUGAGUCAUGAUUGGUAGAUUGCAUACAAGCCCUAGAUGAAGGAAAAUAAAAAAACACUUGGAUCCGAUGUCUGACGCACAACAUCCACAAAUACACAAUCAAAGACGCAUCCUGAUCACAUCACUUUGUUUUUUUUUUUUUGCUCCCCAACUGUCGACCACAAGGUGGCGCUCUCGUCACAGAAUAAAUUAGGAGACCCACUUCUGUGGGCGUGGCAGCGCUGCUACAACCACGACUACUUUAAGCUUUUUUCAAAUCCCUGAAAAAAAAAAAAAAAAA
This is a long non-coding RNA of Stegastes partitus (bicolor damselfish), 1874 nucleotides long. RefSeq lists it as uncharacterized. The record is from RefSeq and is a predicted model, not a curated record. Lineage: Eukaryota; Metazoa; Chordata; Actinopteri; Pomacentridae. The transcript has 2 exons.